This 425-nucleotide ribosomal RNA is filed under the name uncultured bacterium. RNAcentral describes it as "bacterial SSU rRNA". It matches the Rfam family "Bacterial small subunit ribosomal RNA", at positions 356 to 773 of the family's 1533-position model. The record is from RNAcentral.
GGGGAAUAUUGGACAAUGGGGGAAACCCUGAUCCAGCGACGCCGCGUGUGUGAAGAAGGCCUGCGGGUUGUAAAGCACUUUUAGUGGGGAUGAAAAGCUCAGGGCUAACACUCCUGGGUCUUGACCUAACCCAAAGAAAAAGCACCGGCUAACUCUGUGCCAGCAGCCGCGGUAAUACAGAGGGUGCAAGCGUUAAUCGGAAUUACUGGGCGUAAAGCGUGCGCAGACGGUUAUUUAAGUCGGAUGUGAAAUCCCCGGGCUCAACCUGGGAAUUGCAUUCGAGACUGAAUAGCUAGGGUACGGAAGAGGGAAGCGGAAUUUCAGGUGUAGCAGUGAAAUGCGUAGAUAUCUGAAGGAACAUCAGUGGCGAAGGCGGCUUCCUGGUCCAGUACCGACGUUCAGGCACGAAAGCGUGGGGAGCAAAC